UUGCAGGACUCAAGCCCACUGCCCGCUCAAGAAAGUUUAUGGGCCUCAACAGUCAUUGCUCUCCUGUCUUCCUCUCCAACUCCGUCGAUCCGCCGCCCCCUUCAGUCCCGUCCCGUCGCACUUCCUCGAUCUCCUCCACUCCACUUCAGCCCACCCCCCCACAAUGGCGUCUCCUCGCCGCCGCUCCCUCCCACUCCGCUUCCUCAUCUUCAUCCCUGUCCCUCUCUUCCUUGUCCUCCUCCUCUUCCACCGCUCCUCUCAUCCUCCCGCCCCGCUCCUCCACACCGCCGGCUCUGGCUCCGGCCCCAGCCCCGAUCCCCGCCGCUUCUCCCUCCUCAUCAAGCUCCUCGCCUACAACCGGCCGGCCGCGUUUCGCCGCUGCCUCCGCUCCCUCGCCGCCGCUGACUAUGACGGGGACCGCGUCGCGCUCCACGUCCUCCUCGACCACAGCACGACCAACUCCUCGGUGCCCCCCCUCGCCGCGUCGCACGAGAUCCUUGACUUCGUCGACGCGUUCCCGUGGCCGCACGGCGAGAAGCGCGUGCACUACCGCGCCGCCAACGCCGGGCUCCAGGCGCAGUGGAUCGAGGCGUGGUGGCCCGGCUCCGACGACGAAUUCGCCUUCGUCGUCGAGGACGACCUCCAGGUCUCGCCGCUCUACUACAGGUUCCUAAAGCGGGUGGUCAUGAGGUACUACUACGACCGUGAGAACUACAGCCCCUACGUGUUCGGCGCUUCGCUGCAGCGUCCUCGGUUCGUCGCAGGUAAACAUGGAAACAAGAUACAGCUGGAUAGUGAGACUCGGCUUUUCUUGUAUCAGAUGGUAGGCACGUGGGGUCAACUUCUCUUUCCAAAACCAUGGAAAGAAUUUCGAUUAUGGUAUGAUGACCACAAAGCCAAAGGACUCAAACCUAUUCUCCAAGGCAUGAAAACUACAGGAUGGUACAAGAAGAUGGGUGAGAGAAUAUGGACUCCUUGGUUCAUUAAAUUUGUCCACUCACGUGGAUACUUCAAUAUCUACACAAACUUCCUGAAGGAAAGGGCCCUCAGCGUCUCUCAUAGGGAUGCAGGUGUGAACUAUGGGAAAAGUGUUGGGCCAGAUUCUACUUUGUUGGAUGGGAAGAAUCUUGAUUUCAAUUUAUGGGAAUUGCAACCUCUAAAGAAGCUAAAGUGGUAUGAUUUCUGCUUCAAUGAAGUUAUUCCAGGAAGAAUUGUUACAAAAAGUAGUGAACUUGGUUCUGUGUUCAAAUCUGUACAAUUAAAAAGUACUGUUGUUCUUGUAACUCUGUACUCAAUAGAAGAGAGAUUUGCAAGAAACUUGAUUUGCCAUCUUGACAAGGCAGGCAUGAAGAACUAUAUUUUCCUUGGUGACAAUUCAGAGUUUCUGGAUGACCUUGCUCAUAGAGGAUAUCCUGUCAUUGAUGGUAUGAAAUUUCUUCAGAGCAUCAAAGUUAGUAGUUUGCAGCGCUCUGAUGAUUUUGUUAAGGAAGGAUUGGUUAAAUCUUAUGUGAUAAAAGCUUGCUUGGACCUGGGGUACAAUCUAUGGCUACUAAAUGGAAAUAUGAUUUCACUUGGCAAUAAGUUGAUCGAGCCAUCAGAUCAGUCUGUUGACUUGUUUAUUGCAGAUGAAGGGUUGAUGUUUAUAAGGAGCUCGCUAGACUUGAAAAACAAAUGGAAUGAACUUACUAUGUCGAGAGUGAAAGCGAUGUGUACAUCUAGUGAAUUUUCUGUUUCCAUCAAACAGAAGAGUUUUGUCCAUAUGCUUUCUGAAGUGCUUGCGAGCAGUGCUGGUGUUAGGCUGGGAAAACUGGAUGAGGCUAUCAGAGUUAUUGAAUUAGGGCCUAGCACCUCAAACAGAUCAAUAUCAGAAGACCAAAGUAAUGUGCUUUUCUGGUCUCGCAGUAAGGCUUCAGAUUCAGUUCAAAAGCAACUUGAAAAUAUGGACUUAUGGUUGGUUGACUCAGAUUCGUCUUGUAGUGCUGUUGUUUGUCACCAAAAGCAGAAGUAGCCAGGUUGUUUUGGCACAUUACUUUUGCUUCCCUGAGAAAAACAUUUGUGCCAUGAUAGGAAUCCAGGGUAACCGACUAAGUGGCACUUAUAUACUUUCCAAAAUCAUAUGAUGACAUAUCUUUGGAUGCAUGAGGGGGAUCAGCCAUUGUUUGAUCUUUGUAGAUUAUGCGAUGAGGCUGUUCGAUCAAAUGUCUGUUUGUGAAUACAGUUGGCUAUGCCACCGCAGAUAACCAUUUUGGAGUUCUGCUUCUGCAUGAAUUUUAUGCUGAACACAGAUAUAGUUCUGAGGUUCUGAAUACUUGGAUCCUUUUUUGGAUUGGUGAGGGCUAACAAAGUCUUCAGUUAGCUAACCUGUUAAUUCAACUCACAGGAGCAGUUUUGAACAUUCUAUCCUGCUGCAUACCAUGUUGAUAGCAAUGUCCCAACAACAAUCCCUGCAGACAUUCAAACUGCAGCACCCAUGGGACAGAUGUAGAAAGUGUGCAUCUGAAGAAAAUCCGGCAGAUGCGGUUGGUGCGGUGCACAUUUUCACUGGCAGAAGCAACGUCUGCUGGAUAAAGAGAGAAAGGGAAACCGAGCUGGAAAGUGGUUCGACAAUUUUGACAGAUCGAUCAUAGAACCCAUAGACAAUUCUGCAGCAGCGACUAGCAAGUGUGGUGUUGGUGUGUGCCGAAGAGAUCUCCCAACCAGAGUUGACGCUCAUGUUUCCUUAGCAGCACGAUUUCCUCCCACCUGACCUGAACAAGGUGUGUGGCAUCAUCUGUUCGCUGUGUAUCCAACUUGGAACACAAGCAAGGAUGUACUAGCUGCGCUGCGACAGAACGGUCCGCCGGGAAAAUGACAUGCGGGUUGUACCGGAUGCGCCGUUGGCAUCGCAUAUGACGACGUGACAAUAAUAUGCAUCGUUUCAGGUUGGGAUGCGAGUGUUGUGAGCGUGAUAUCUGCUCUGCAGGGCUGCAAGUUGCUGAGAUAGGUUUCCUCAUGGCUGGGGCCUGGAGUUGCAGACUUGCAGUUUAAUCAUGUUGUUAAGUGGCCAAUCCUUGAAUAAGAUCAUGUUAGGUAUAGCAA
Molecule: RNA transcript, 3078 nt
Organism: Sorghum bicolor (sorghum)
Lineage: Eukaryota; Viridiplantae; Streptophyta; Magnoliopsida; Poales; Poaceae
Exons: 4
Source: RefSeq, a predicted model, not a curated record